GUGGGGAAUAUUGGGCAAUGGGCGGAAGCCUGACCCAGCGACGCCGCGUGGGGGAAGAAGUCUUUCGGGAUGUAAACCCUUGUUGUACGGGACGAAGGAAGUGACGGUACCGUACGAGGAAGCCCCGGCAAACUACGUGCCAGCAGCCGCGGUAAUACGUAGGGGGCGAGCGUUGUCCGGAAUCACUGGGCGUAAAGCGCACGUAGGCGGGCUGUCAAGUCGGCCGUGAAAGGCACGGGCUCAACCUGUGCAUGUCGGUCGAUACUGGCGGUCUGGAGUAUGGGAGAGGGAACUGGAAUUCCCGGUGUAGCGGUGAAAUGCGUAGAUAUCUGGAGGAACAUCAGUGGCGAAGGCGACACCCUGGACCGAUACUGACACUGAGGUGCGAAAGCGUGGGUAGCGAACAGGAUUAGAAACCCGAGUAGUCC
This 428-nucleotide ribosomal RNA is filed under the name uncultured bacterium. RNAcentral's name for it is "partial 16S ribosomal RNA". It matches the Rfam family "Bacterial small subunit ribosomal RNA", at positions 354 to 796 of the family's 1533-position model. The record is from RNAcentral.